Molecule: ribosomal RNA, 497 nt
Filed under: uncultured bacterium
Lineage: Bacteria
Description: partial 16S ribosomal RNA
Rfam family: Bacterial small subunit ribosomal RNA
Source: RNAcentral
GACGAACGCUGGCGGCGUGCCUAAUACAUGCAAGUUGAGCGAUGAAGAUUGGUGCUUGCACCAAUUUGAAGAGCAGCGAACGGGUGAGUAACGCGUGGGGAAUCUGCCUUUGAGCGGGGGACAACAUUUGGAAACGAAUGCUAAUACCGCAUAACAACUUUAAACAUAAGUUUUAAGUUUGAAAGAUGCAAUUGCAUCACUCAAAGAUGAUCCCGCGUUGUAUUAGCUAGUUGGUGAGGUAAAGGCUCACCAAGGCGAUGAUACAUAGCCGACCUGAGAGGGUGAUCGGCCACAUUGGGACUGAGACACGGCCCAAACUCCUACGGGAGGCAGCAGUAGGGAAUCUUCGGCAAUGGACGAAAGUCUGACCGAGCAACGCCGCGUGAGUGAAGAAGGUUUUCGGAUCGUAAAACUCUGUUGGUAGAGAAGAACGUUGGUGAGAGUGGAAAGCUCAUCAAGUGACGAUAACUACCCAGAAAGGGACGGCUAACUACGUG